UACAGAGGGGGCAAGCGUUGUUCGGAAUUAUUGGGCGUAAAGGGCGCGUAGGCGGUGCGGUAAGUCACCUGUGAAAUCUCCUGGCUCAACUGGGAGCUUGCAGGCGAAACUGCCGUGCUGGAGUGUGGGAGAGGUGCGUGGAAUUCCUGGUGUAGCGGUGAAAUGCGUAGAUAUCAGGAGGAACACCUGUGGCGAAAGCGGCGCACUGGACCACAACUGACGCUGAGGCGCGAAAGCUAGGGGAGCAAACAGG
Molecule: ribosomal RNA, 253 nt
Filed under: uncultured bacterium
Lineage: Bacteria
Description: partial 16S ribosomal RNA
Rfam family: Bacterial small subunit ribosomal RNA
Source: RNAcentral